UAGUAAUCGCGGAUCAGAAUGCCGCGGUGAAUACGUUCCCGGGCCUUGUACACACCGCCCGUCACACCACGAGAGUUUGUAACACCCGAAGCCGGUGGGGUAACCCGUAAGGGAGCUAGCCGUCGAAGGUGGGACAGAUGAUUGGGGUGAAGUCGUAACAAGGUAGCCGUAUCGGAAGGUGCGGCUGGAUCACCUCCUUUCUAAGGAA
Molecule: ribosomal RNA, 208 nt
Filed under: Desulfuribacillus alkaliarsenatis
Lineage: Bacteria; Bacillati; Bacillota; Desulfuribacillia; Desulfuribacillales; Desulfuribacillaceae
Description: partial 16S ribosomal RNA
Rfam family: Bacterial small subunit ribosomal RNA
Source: RNAcentral